Molecule: ribosomal RNA, 438 nt
Filed under: uncultured bacterium
Lineage: Bacteria
Description: bacterial SSU rRNA
Rfam family: Bacterial small subunit ribosomal RNA
Source: RNAcentral
GCACAACGCGAAGAACCUUACCUAGGCUUGACAUGCAUCUCUAAGCACGUGAAAGCGUGUGACCCUUCGGGGAAUUUGCACAGGUGCUGCAUGGCCGUCGUCAGCUCGUGUCGUGAGAUGUUGGGUUAAGUCCCGCAACGAGCGCAACCCUUGUGACUAGUUGCCAGCACGUUAUGGUGGGAACUCUAGUCAGACUGCCCAGAUCAACUGGGAGGAAGGUGGGGACGACGUCAGGUCAGUAUGGCCCUUACGCCUAGGGCUGCACACGUAUUACAAUGCCCAGCACAAUGAGAACCGAGACCGCGAGGUGGAGGAAAUCUAAAAAACUGGGCCCAGUUCGGAUUGGAGGCUGCAACUCGCCUCCAUGAAGUUGGAAUCGCUAGUAAUGGCGCAUCAUCUACGGCGCCGUGAAUACGUUCCCGGGUCUUGUACACACCG